UGCCUUAAUGCCAGUGUUGAAUAGGAGUGGUGUUGCAAAGUAGUUCAUUGACGCCAGGAUUUUUACAACACUUAUGCCGCCAAUCGAUCGGUUAUUUAAAAAAUGGUUGUUUCAACACAUUGUCCAUCUUAACCUGGAGUCGCUCUCUCUGCCGAAAGUUGUUUUCAACAACAGCUGCUUUAAAUUUAAACGCAUCUCGUUCAAAGUCUUAAAACCAAGUUGAAAUGAUUAAUAAAUGUUUUUUAAAAUCUUUGAA
Molecule: long non-coding RNA, 256 nt
Organism: Drosophila willistoni
Lineage: Eukaryota; Metazoa; Arthropoda; Insecta; Diptera; Drosophilidae
Exons: 2
Source: RefSeq, a predicted model, not a curated record